UACGUAGGGUGCAAGCGUUGUCCGGAAUUAUUGGGCGUAAAGAGCUCGUAGGCGGUCUGUCGCGUCGAAUGUGAAAACCCGGGGCUCAACCCCGGGCCUGCAUUCGAUACGGGCAGACUAGAGUUCGGUAGGGGAGUCUGGAAUUCCUGGUGUAGCGGUGAAAUGCGCAGAUAUCAGGAGGAACACCGGUGGCGAAGGCGGCGACCUGGGUCGAGACUGACGCUGAGGCGCGAAAGCGUGGGGAGCAAACAGG
RNAcentral lists this ribosomal RNA (253 nucleotides) under uncultured bacterium. RNAcentral describes it as "partial 16S ribosomal RNA". It matches the Rfam family "Bacterial small subunit ribosomal RNA", at positions 524 to 776 of the family's 1533-position model. The record is from RNAcentral.